GGUCAAGCGAGAAAGUGCGCACGGUGGAUGCCUUGGCACAGACCGGCGAUGAAGGACGUGGCAAGCUGCGAAAA
This 74-nucleotide ribosomal RNA is filed under the name Gemmatimonadota bacterium. RNAcentral describes it as "partial 23S ribosomal RNA". It matches the Rfam family "Bacterial large subunit ribosomal RNA", at positions 1 to 74 of the family's 2925-position model. The record is from RNAcentral. Lineage: Bacteria; Pseudomonadati; Gemmatimonadota.